UUGAAAAUUUGAAUGCAUAUCCUGUAAAAGAUUUCCUGUAUUUUUUACUUGAGCCCAACACGAAGUCGAUGAUUUCCUAUAAUUAAAAAUCAAAUGAGUUCAGAGUAUUAUAUCUCGAACAAAGCUGAUGCGAACGACAAGCAAACUAUCUGUCAACGCCCCAUCUGUUUGUAAAUGAGGUACUAACUAACCAACCGCAUAUCCGAAUGGCCCAAAUCCUCGUAUAAGGAAAUAAAUUUCACAUUUCACUAAGUGGGCAUACUUGAAGACUGGCUAUAAAUCAAAUCAUCUAAAAGAACAAUUCGUUCAGACCAGUCUCUACUACAGUCCCCACUUGGGAAAAAAUGAGAAAUCUAGUCUGUAAUCCAGCUAUCCUGGUCUUUAAUUUUUAUUUUGUGGAGAUGUGCAUUGGUCAUACAAUGAUUACUUAUUGCUCUAUUCAUAAACAAGCAAGUUUGAAACACUCGACCUAUAUGAAACAAAUCUGUUUUGAUAUUAUAAGCCCUAUGUCAUUUGUUGGGCUACCACGAAAUCCAAUAGUUUUAGUAUUUCUGAAUGAUUACAAAUAAUUUUCAAUAUUUUCUUUGUUCUCUGCUUAAAAAAUUGUCUUAAGAAAACUUUGCCCCCAAUAUUUGGAAAAAAAUCCAGAAUUUAAUGACAAAAAUGGUGGUUAUUGGAUUCGCCCAUGUGUAUAUACAUUUUUUUAUGAAAAUUGCUGGAACAUCAUCAAGUCUGGAAGAAAAAUAUCUGUUAUGAUGGGGAUUUCUAUGUUACCAUAGCAAGUGAACACGGAGGAAAAGUAAUUGCAAAAAAAACAUUAUUGUAUUAAAUUUAUUAUAUUCAUUUUAUUUAUAUACUUUUCACACUGCUUUCUUAUUUUUAUAUUUAUGUACAUUUUUGUUUGAAAUCUCUAUGAAGAAAAAUUGUAUUGUUACCGAUCAACAUUUUUAGUUAUGUAUAUAAUAAUAAUACAUUUAUUACCCAUAAAAGAAAAAAACAGAAGAAUAUACAGUAGUGGUGGUGCUAUUAAAUGAUAUUCUGAUGAAUAAAUGGCUGGACUUAUUGGUUCAGAUAACAGUUGAAAA
Leptinotarsa decemlineata (Colorado potato beetle) is the source of this 1085-nucleotide long non-coding RNA. The record is from RefSeq and is a predicted model, not a curated record. NCBI's taxonomy places the organism in Eukaryota, Metazoa, Arthropoda, Insecta, Coleoptera, Chrysomelidae.